AGAGUUUGAUCCUGGCUCAGGAUGAACGCUAGCGGGAGGCCUAACACAUGCAAGCCGAGCGGUAUUUGUUCUUCGGAACAGAGAGAGCGGCGCACGGGUGCGGAACACGUGUGCAACCUGCCUUUAUCUGGGGGAUAGCCUUUCGAAAGGAAGAUUAAUACCCCAUAAUAUGUUGAAUGGCAUCAUUCGAUAUUGAAAACUCCGGUGGAUAGAGAUGGGCACGCGCAAGAUUAGAUAGUUGGUGAGGUAACGGCUCACCAAGUCUGCGAUCUUUAGGGGGCCUGAGAGGGUGAUCCCCCACACUGGUACUGAGACACGGACCAGACUCCUACGGGAGGCAGCAGUGAGGAAUAUUGGACAAUGGGUGAGAGCCUGAUCCAGCCAUCCCGCGUGAAGGACGACGGCCCUAUGGGUUGUAAACUUCUUUUGUAUAGGGAUAAACCUACUCUCGUGAGAGUAGCUGAAGGUACUAUACGAAUAAGCACCGGCUAACUCCGUGCCAGCAGCCGCGGUAAUACGGAGGGUGCAAGCGUUAUCCGGAUUUAUUGGGUUUAAAGGGUCCGUAGGCUGAUGUGUAAGUCAGUGGUGAAAUCUCACAGCUUAACUGUGAAACUGCCAUUGAUACUGCAUGUCUUGAGUGUUGUUGAAGUAGCUGGAAUAAGUAGUGUAGCGGUGAAAUGCAUAGAUAUUACUUAGAACACCAAUUGCGAAGGCAGGUUACUAAGCAACAACUGACGCUGAUGGACGAAAGCGUGGGGAGCGAACAGGAUUAGAUACCCUGGUAGUCCACGCCGUAAACGAUGCUAACUCGUUUUUGGGACGUAAGUUUCAGAGACUAAGCGAAAGUGAUAAGUUAGCCACCUGGGGAGUACGAACGCAAGUUUGAAACUCAAAGGAAUUGACGGGGGCCCGCACAAGCGGUGGAUUAUGUGGUUUAAUUCGAUGAUACGCGAGGAACCUUACCAAGGCUUAAAUGGGAAAUGACAGGUUUAGAAAUAGACUUUUCUUCGGACAUUUUUCAAGGUGCUGCAUGGUUGUCGUCAGCUCGUGCCGUGAGGUGUUAGGUUAAGUCCUGCAACGAGCGCAACCCCUGUCACUAGUUGCCAUCAUUAAGUUGGGGACUCUAGUGAGACUGCCUACGCAAGUAGAGAGGAAGGUGGGGAUGACGUCAAAUCAUCACGGCCCUUACGCCUUGGGCCACACACGUAAUACAAUGGCCGGUACAGAGGGCAGCUACACAGCGAUGUGAUGCAAAUCUCGAAAGCCGGUCUCAGUUCGGAUUGGAGUCUGCAACUCGACUCUAUGAAGCUGGAAUCGCUAGUAAUCGCGCAUCAGCCAUGGCGCGGUGAAUACGUUCCCGGGCCUUGUACACACCGCCCGUCAAGCCAUGGAAGUCUGGGGUACCUGAAGUCGGUGACCGUAACAGGAGCUGCCUAGGGUAAAACAGGUAACUAGGGCUAAGUCGUAACAAGGUAACC
Molecule: ribosomal RNA, 1478 nt
Filed under: endosymbiont of Nilaparvata lugens
Lineage: Bacteria
Description: bacterial SSU rRNA
Rfam family: Bacterial small subunit ribosomal RNA
Source: RNAcentral